ACGAGAAGGAAGACGGAGAAGCAGACGAAGACGACGAACUGAGAUCGUCGGUCGUGGUCGGUGAUAGUCUGGCUGGCUGUGUCACGGCUUGCUGGUGGUGAUGGUGGUGAUGGUGAUAGU
RNAcentral lists this microRNA precursor (120 nucleotides) under Trichophyton rubrum BMU01672. Lineage: Eukaryota; Fungi; Ascomycota; Eurotiomycetes; Onygenales; Arthrodermataceae. The record is from RNAcentral.